CCCUCCUCCCCCCAGGCCUCUUGGGUUUCAAUGCUACUUUCACACAAACUCGACUUGAACGCCUACCAAAUUUCUGCCGUGUCUGGGGAAACACCAGUGACUUAGCAAAGACGUAAUAUGAUUUAUUUUUUGUGUCACCGCGAUUGAUUCCUCCGCUGACCCCUUUUCAUUCAUAACAAGCCCCCACCCACCUCUGAUAUAUGAGUUUUGUGCUUAAAAUUACAUGCUGG
Long non-coding RNA from Pelodiscus sinensis (Chinese soft-shelled turtle), 230 nucleotides. It matches the Rfam family "HOX antisense intergenic RNA myeloid 1 conserved region 2". Lineage: Eukaryota; Metazoa; Chordata; Testudines; Trionychidae. The record is from Rfam.